GCGGCAACAGCUCAAAUUUGAAAUCUGGCCCCCAGGGCCCGAGUUGUAAUUUGCAGAGGAUGCUUUUGGCGCGGUGCCUUCCGAGUUCCCUGGAACGGGACGCCAUAGAGGGUGAGAGCCCCGUCUGGUCGGACGCCUAGCCUGUGUAAAGCUCCUUCGACGAGUCGAGUAGUUUGGGAAUGCUGCUCUAAAUGGGAGGUAUAUGUCUUCUAAAGCUAAAUACCGGCCAGAGACCGAUAGCGCACAAGUAGAGUGAUCGAAAGAUGAAAAGCACUUUGAAAAGAGGGUUAAAUAGUACGUGAAAUUGUUGAAAGGGAAGCGCUUGUGACCAGACUUGGGCCCGGUGGAUCAUCCAGCGUUCUCGCUGGUGCACUCCGCCGGGUUCAGGCCAGCAUCAGUUCGCCGCGGGGGAAAAAGGCUUCGGGAACGUGGCUCCUACGGGAGUGUUAUAGCCCGUUGCAUAAUACCCUGGGGCGGACUGAGGUUCGCGCUCCGCAAGG
Molecule: ribosomal RNA, 500 nt
Filed under: Purpureocillium lilacinum
Lineage: Eukaryota; Fungi; Ascomycota; Sordariomycetes; Hypocreales; Ophiocordycipitaceae
Description: partial large subunit ribosomal RNA
Rfam family: Eukaryotic large subunit ribosomal RNA
Source: RNAcentral